CAGUCGCCGCGGGAAUACGGAGGGUGCAAGCGUUAAUCGGAAUUACUGGGCGUAAAGCGCACGCAGGCGGUCUGUCAAGUCGGAUGUGAAAUCCCCGGGCUCAACCUGGGAACUGCAUUAGAAACUGGCAGGCUAGAGUCUUGUAGAGGGGGGUAGAAUUCCAGGUGUAGCGGUGAAAUGCGUAGAGAUCUGGAGGAAUACCGGUGGCGAAGGCGGCCCCCUGGACAAAGACUGACGCUCAGGUGCGAAAGCGUGGGGAGCAAACAGGAUUAGAUACCCCUGUAGUCCCUGUCUCUUAUAC
This 301-nucleotide ribosomal RNA is filed under the name uncultured bacterium. Its description in RNAcentral is "partial 16S ribosomal RNA". It matches the Rfam family "Bacterial small subunit ribosomal RNA", at positions 509 to 807 of the family's 1533-position model. The record is from RNAcentral.